GUUUCAGUAUUUCAGUUGUUCAGUGUUUCAGUGUUUCAGUGUUUCAGUGUUUCAGUAUUUCAGUGUUUCAGUGUUUCAGUAUUUCAGUGUUUCAGUGUUUCAGAGUUUCAGUGUUUCAGUGUUUCAGUGUUUCAGUGUUUCAGUAUUUUAGUGUUACAGCAUUUUAAUGUUUCAGAGUUUCAGUGUUCAGUGUUUCAGUGUUUCAGUGUUUCAGUGUUUCAGUGUUUCAGUAUUUCAGUGUUUCAGUUGUUCAGUGUUUCAGUGUUUCAGUAUUUCAGUGUUUCAGUGUUUCAGUGUUUCAGUAUUUCAGUGUUUCAUAAUUUCAGUGUUUCAGUGUUUC
Molecule: long non-coding RNA, 340 nt
Organism: Ictalurus punctatus (channel catfish)
Lineage: Eukaryota; Metazoa; Chordata; Actinopteri; Siluriformes; Ictaluridae
Source: Ensembl